AGGGGAUGGCAUGAGAAAACUUUUGUCUUAUAGGAUUCUCUGGCUGGCCUCUAUGUAGACCAGAUAGGACGGACAGACACUGAGAACAGGCACGCUAUUUCCUUGGAGCCUAACCGGUGCUUCUGGUACAUACUGAACUCGGAUUCCACUAGCAGUUUCACACUAUACUGCAGAGGAGGCAACUUCCAGUCCACUGACACCCCAGAGCACUCUGCUGAUCUUGUCUUUCUUCUCCGUGAACAUGCCAGCAGCUCAAGCAGAUGUGCCCCACCCCCACUCCCCUGUGCAGGGCAUUGCUAAAGCAGGCACUUCUGAACCACGCAACUAAAAGGGAGGACACUCGUGAAGAGCCCUGAUACAAAGACACGGCGUGCAAGGAGCUAUUCAUUUUCUUAAAGGGUCUCCCACUGAACCUGAAGCUCUCCUUUUCAGCUGGACUGGCUGACAGUGGGUUCCUGGAAUUGACCUAUCUCUGCCCCUCAACAAUGAAGUUAUACUUUUAUGAACAGCCGUGACCAGAUUUUUUUACAUGGGUUCUGAGGAUUCGAACUAAGGUCCUCACGCUUGUACCACAAGUGUUCUCACCCAUUGAGCCAUCUUCCUUGCUCCCUAUAGGAAAUGUCUCCAGCUACUGGGGUGGUUUUCUAUGCCAUAGCUGUGUCAUGUCCAGAAGAAAGCAUUACUCAACUCUGAAUCCCAGACAAUGACAAUCCUGAAGGUGGUGCCUGGAGCAAAGGGGGCACGAAAGGAUUGGUGGGCAAGGAAAGACUGCUAGGAAAGGAAAACUCAUUCUUUUUGGAGGGUGUGGUCACUGAUAGAUUUCCCAUGCUUCAUUGUGGGGCACACAUGCAGCUAAAGAUGGACAGCACUAAAUGGAUUUAGUGGUUUACCAGGAAAAAAGAAGAAGAUGGCAUGAAGUUGGGAGGCAGAUGUGUGGUGGAGGAUGUGGAGGGGCUUGGAAGAGGGAAACGAUAGUGGACAUGAUCAUGUUUCAUUGUAUAAAUGCAUAAAAUUCUCAAGAAUAAAGAAAACAUCCU
Mesocricetus auratus (golden hamster) is the source of this 1037-nucleotide long non-coding RNA. RefSeq lists it as uncharacterized. NCBI's taxonomy places the organism in Eukaryota, Metazoa, Chordata, Mammalia, Rodentia, Cricetidae. The record is from RefSeq and is a predicted model, not a curated record. The transcript has 6 exons.